GACAGAGGGUGCAAACGUUGUUCGGAAUUACUGGGCGUAAAGCGCGUGUAGGCGGCUAAGUAAGUCGGGCGUGAAAUCCCACGGCUCAACCGUGGAAGUGCACUCGAAACUGCAUAGCUAGAGUCCUGGAGAGGAAGGUGGAAUGCUUGGUGUAGAGGUGAAAUUCGUAGAUAUCAAGCGGAACACCGGUGGCGAAGGCGGCCUUCUGGACAGUGACUGACGCUGAGACGCGAAAGUGUGGGGAGCAAACAGG
Molecule: ribosomal RNA, 253 nt
Filed under: uncultured bacterium
Lineage: Bacteria
Description: partial 16S ribosomal RNA
Rfam family: Bacterial small subunit ribosomal RNA
Source: RNAcentral